UUUAAACGGCCGCGGUAUCCUAACCGUGCAAAGGUAGCAUAAUCACUUGUCCCCUAAAUAGGGACUGGAAUGAAUGGCUAAAUGAGGACUAAACUGUCUCUUACAGGUUGGCCAAUGAAAUUGAUAUUCCAGUACAAAAGCUGGAAUAAACCCAUAAGACGAGAAGACCCUGUGGAGCUUUAAAGCCAAGUCCACUAAAUAUGGCUCUUGAAUUUUCAGUUGGGGCGACUUUGGAGUAAAACAAAACCUCCAAGAAAACUUCUAUUGAGGUUAACACACCAAAAUAAUAAUACAGACCCAGCAAUAAUUCCAACCAAUUGCCUGAUCAAUGAACCAAGUUACCCCAGGGAUAACAGCGCCAUCCCCUUUUAGAGUCCCUAUCGACAAGGGGGUUUACGACCUCGAUGUUGGAUCAGGACACCCCAAUGGUGCAGCCGCCAUUAAAGGUUCGUUUGUUCAACGAUUAAAGUCCUA
Molecule: ribosomal RNA, 474 nt
Filed under: Timon tangitanus
Lineage: Eukaryota; Metazoa; Chordata; Lepidosauria; Squamata; Lacertidae
Description: partial 16S ribosomal RNA
Rfam family: Bacterial large subunit ribosomal RNA
Source: RNAcentral